Long non-coding RNA from Acanthopagrus latus (yellowfin seabream), 367 nucleotides. RefSeq lists it as uncharacterized. The record is from RefSeq and is a predicted model, not a curated record. The transcript has 3 exons. NCBI's taxonomy places the organism in Eukaryota, Metazoa, Chordata, Actinopteri, Spariformes, Sparidae.
GUUGUUAUGUCUUGCCAGAGCACUGCAAUAUAUUCUGACUUAUGGAGAAAAAAACAGCACAACACCAAAAACAGAUACUGAGCAGGAGGAGAGCGACAGUGAUGGAGAGGAACAGAUGAAAAACGGAGAGCGGGAGGAAUUUCAUUUACUCGUCUCUAACGUCGAUCCUGAAAAAUGGGUCACUGAAUGACUCAGGGAGGAUUCAGACAUGUGGUGCCAGAUGGAUGGAUUUGUCACUGGUCGCCUGGACUCCAUCAUAUCCGCGAAACCAUGGCAGACUUUCGGAUUACGAGACAGAUUUAAGGUUAAUCAUCAUCAGAUGUACAGGAGCUGUGACUAAGUUUGCACCUAUAGACGAAAAUACACA